Pomacea canaliculata is the source of this 175-nucleotide long non-coding RNA. RefSeq lists it as uncharacterized. The record is from RefSeq and is a predicted model, not a curated record. The transcript has 2 exons. NCBI's taxonomy places the organism in Eukaryota, Metazoa, Mollusca, Gastropoda, Architaenioglossa, Ampullariidae.
GAAGGAGGACAUCCUUUACCAAAGACUAAAGCUAAACAUCCAGGUCCAGGUAGCUGCAGCAGCCGUAGGACCGUCUGUUGGUGCUCCGCAGCCACCUCCACCGCCUCCACCAGGUGUGGCUUGAAUUGUAUUUGGGAGUGUUCUGACAUCUUGGCUGUUUGUCUCCUGUUAAUUU